Molecule: ribosomal RNA, 619 nt
Filed under: Phialocephala sp.
Lineage: Eukaryota; Fungi; Ascomycota; Leotiomycetes; Helotiales; Mollisiaceae
Description: eukaryotic LSU rRNA
Rfam family: Eukaryotic large subunit ribosomal RNA
Source: RNAcentral
AGCCAUUAUUAAAAAUUUUUUGCAUAUCCAAUAGCGGAGGAAAAGAAACCAACAGGGAUUACCUCAGUAACGGCGAGUGAAGCGGUAACAGCUCAAAUUUGAAAGCUAGCUCUUUUAGGGUUCGCAUUGUAAUUUGUAGAAGAUGCUUCGGGUGUGGCCCCGGUCUAAGUUCCUUGGAACAGGACGUCAUAGAGGGUGAGAAUCCCGUAUGUGACUGGGUGCUUUCGCUCAUGUGAAGCUCUUUCGACGAGUCGAGUUGUUUGGGAAUGCAGCUCAAAAUGGGUGGUAAAUUUCAUCUAAAGCUAAAUAUUGGCCAGAGACCGAUAGCGCACAAGUAGAGUGAUCGAAAGAUGAAAAGCACUUUGGAAAGAGAGUUAAACAGUACGUGAAAUUGUUGAAAGGGAAGCGCUUGCAACCAGACUUGCGCGCUGAUGAUCAUCCGGGCUUCUGCCCGGUGCACUCGUCUGCGCUCAGGCCAGCAUCGGUUUCGGUGGUGGGAUAAAGGCCUUGGGAAUGUAGCUCCUCUCGGGGAGUGUUAUAGCCCUCGGUGCAAUGCCGCCUACCGGGACCGAGGACCGCGCUCGGCUAGGUGCCGUCGUAUAUUCAAGCAAUCCUCAAU